UAAAAAGCUAUGAGAGGAAAGAAGUAGAUCAGUUUCAUGUUAUUAAGAGAGCAUCUGGUUGGUGAGAAGAUGCAAAUGCACUGAUUCGAAAUACAUCCUGGAGCUGCUGCCUGAAUUAUAGUAGGGCUUGACGGGGACGCCCGAUACAGCGUGAGAGUGUGAUUGCACUCAGUGAGGGAAAUUCUGUGAGGAAUUUCUAAGUCAGAGGUGGUACCGCAAUUUUUGCCUUCUGU
Molecule: non-coding RNA, 233 nt
Filed under: Clostridium carboxidivorans
Lineage: Bacteria; Bacillati; Bacillota; Clostridia; Eubacteriales; Clostridiaceae
Description: T-box sequence
Rfam family: T-box leader
About the family: Uncharged tRNA acts as the effector for transcription antitermination of genes in the T-box leader family. T-boxes are found upstream of many aminoacyl-tRNA synthetase genes and some amino acid biosynthetic genes usually in Gram-positive bacteria. The anticodon of a specific tRNA base pairs to a specifier sequence within the T-box motif, and the NCCA acceptor tail of the tRNA base pairs to a conserved bulge in the T-box antiterminator hairpin.
Source: RNAcentral